UUCAAACCCACCAUCUUCUCUUUCUCUUAAAACCCACCGGAAUUGCUUCAAACCCACCGGAAAAUUCGACGCCUUUCUCAUACUCUCACUCUAUUUAUUUCUCAUUUACCAUGGUGAUUUACUUUGUUUAUUUCUCUCUCUCUUUCUUGCUUUUCUAUAUCAGUUAAAAAAGUAAAUAUCAUCAUCGCUUAGCUCUCAGCAGUAGCAGUUAUACAUGCACUGGGUAUUAUCAAUAAUAAUCAUAAAAACCCUAAAUACCUCAGUAAGAAUCGCUUAGCUCUCAGCAGUAGCAGUUGUUUCAUCAAAGAGAGGGCUCUCUCAGAGCCCUUUUUCUCUCUUCUGAGGGGUUUUGAGUUGAAUUUCAGGGUUUAGGAAAUAGUUUCAGGGUUUAGGAAACAGUUGUACUUCAUCAAAUUCUUCAAAAAGCUCUCGAAAGGAUUAUGGAUAAUCUAGAGCGUGGUUGGAUGUACGACAGGUUGGAUGGUCGAGGGGGUAUUAAUUCUAGUUUCAUAACUGGUGUUAAUAAGUUUCUUGAGUUCUCAUGUUCUCAGAGAAACCGCAUGAGUGGUGACGAUGUCAAAUGUCCGUGUAAAAAAUGUCACAAUAUUAAAUUCAUGGAUGUUGAAACCGUUAAAUUGCACCUUCAAUCGUUUGGAUUUGUUGAGAACUAUUUUGUUUGGAAGUAUCAAGGG
This is a long non-coding RNA of Lycium ferocissimum, 692 nucleotides long. RefSeq lists it as uncharacterized. The record is from RefSeq and is a predicted model, not a curated record. NCBI's taxonomy places the organism in Eukaryota, Viridiplantae, Streptophyta, Magnoliopsida, Solanales, Solanaceae. The transcript is spliced from 3 exons.